GGCUCAGGACGAACGCUGGCGGCGUGCCUAAUACAUGCAAGUCGAACGAACUCUGGUAUUGAUUGGUGCUUGCAUCAUGAUUUACAUUUGAGUGAGUGGCGAACUGGUGAGUAACACGUGGGAAACCUGCCCAGAAGCGGGGGAUAACACCUGGAAACAGAUGCUAAUACCGCAUAACAACUUGGACCGCAUGGUCCGAGCUUGAAAGAUGGCUUCGGCUAUCACUUUUGGAUGGUCCCGCGGCGUAUUAGCUAGAUGGUGGGGUAACGGCUCACCAUGGCAAUGAUACGUAGCCGACCUGAGAGGGUAAUCGGCCACAUUGGGACUGAGACACGGCCCAAACUCCUACGGGAGGCAGCAGUAGGGAAUCUUCCACAAUGGACGAAAGUCUGAUGGAGCAACGCCGCGUGAGUGAAGAAGGGUUUCGGCUCGUAAAACUCUGUUGUUAAAGAAGAACAUAUCUGAGAGUAACUGUUCAGGUAUUGACGGUAUUUAACCAGAAAGCCACGGCUAACUACGUGCCAGCAGCCGCGGUAAUACGUAGGUGGCAAGCGUUGUCCGGAUUUAUUGGGCGUAAAGCGAGCGCAGGCGGUUUUUUAAGUCUGAUGUGAAAGCCUUCGGCUCAACCGAAGAAGUGCAUCGGAAACUGGGAAACUUGAGUGCAGAAGAGGACAGUGGAACUCCAUGUGUAGCGGUGAAAUGCGUAGAUAUAUGGAAGAACACCAGUGGCGAAGGCGGCUGUCUGGUCUGUAACUGACGCUGAGGCUCGAAAGUAUGGGUAGCAAACAGGAUUAGAUACCCUGGUAGUCCAUACCGUAAACGAUGAAUGCUAAGUGUUGGAGGGUUUCCGCCCUUCAGUGCUGCAGCUAACGCAUUAAGCAUUCCGCCUGGGGAGUACGGCCGCAAGGCUGAAACUCAAAGGAAUUGACGGGGGCCCGCACAAGCGGUGGAGCAUGUGGUUUAAUUCGAAGCUACGCGAAGAACCUUACCAGGUCUUGACAUACUAUGCAAAUCUAAGAGAUUAGACGUUCCCUUCGGGGACAUGGAUACAGGUGGUGCAUGGUUGUCGUCAGCUCGUGUCGUGAGAUGUUGGGUUAAGUCCCGCAACGAGCGCAACCCUUAUUAUCAGUUGCCAGCAUUAAGUUGGGCACUCUGGUGAGACUGCCGGUGACAAACCGGAGGAAGGUGGGGAUGACGUCAAAUCAUCAUGCCCCUUAUGACCUGGGCUACACACGUGCUACAAUGGAUGGUACAACGAGUUGCGAACUCGCGAGAGUAAGCUAAUCUCUUAAAGCCAUUCUCAGUUCGGAUUGUAGGCUGCAACUCGCCUACAUGAAGUCGGAAUCGCUAGUAAUCGCGGAUCAGCAUGCCGCGGUGAAUACGUUCCCGGGCCUUGUACACACCGCCCGUCACACCAUGAGAGUUUGUAACACCCAAAGUCGGUGGGGUAACCUUUUAGGAACCAGCCGCCUAAGGUGGGACAGAUGAUUAGGGUGAAGUCGUAACAA
Molecule: ribosomal RNA, 1508 nt
Filed under: Lactiplantibacillus plantarum
Lineage: Bacteria; Bacillati; Bacillota; Bacilli; Lactobacillales; Lactobacillaceae
Description: Lactobacillus plantarum partial 16S ribosomal RNA
Rfam family: Bacterial small subunit ribosomal RNA
Source: RNAcentral